This 763-nucleotide ribosomal RNA is filed under the name uncultured bacterium. Its description in RNAcentral is "bacterial SSU rRNA". It matches the Rfam family "Bacterial small subunit ribosomal RNA", at positions 35 to 815 of the family's 1533-position model. The record is from RNAcentral.
GCUGGCGGCGUGCUUAACACAUGCAAGUCGAGCGGUAAGGCCCUUCGGGGUACACGAGCGGCGAACGGGUGAGUAACACGUGGGUGAUCUGCCUCGUACUUCGGGAUAAGCCUGGGAAACUGGGUCUAAUACCGGAUAUGACCUUCGGAUGCAUGUCUGAGGGUGGAAAGAUUUAUCGGUACGAGAUGGGCCCGCGGCCUAUCAGCUUGUUGGUGGGGUAAUGGCCUACCAAGGCGACGACGGGUAGCCGGCCUGAGAGGGCGACCGGCCACACUGGGACUGAGACACGGCCCAGACUCCUACGGGAGGCAGCAGUGGGGAAUAUUGCACAAUGGGCGAAAGCCUGAUGCAGCGACGCCGCGUGAGGGAUGACGGCCUUCGGGUUGUAAACCUCUUUCGACAGGGACGAAGCGCAAGUGACGGUACCUGUAGAAGAAGCACCGGCCAACUACGUGCCAGCAGCCGCGGUAAUACGUAGGGUGCGAGCGUUGUCCGGAAUUACUGGGCGUAAAGAGCUUGUAGGCGGUUCGUCGCGUCGUUCGUGAAAACUUGGGGCUCAACCCCAAGCUUGCGGGCGAUACGGGCGGACUAGAGUACUUCAGGGGAGACUGGAAUUCCUGGUGUAGCGGUGAAAUGCGCAGAUAUCAGGAGGAACACCGGUGGCGAAGGCGGGUCUCUGGGAAGUAACUGACGCUGAGAAGCGAAAGCGUGGGUAGCGAACAGGAUUAGAUACCCUGGUAGUCCACGCCGUAAACGGUGGGUA